Molecule: ribosomal RNA, 458 nt
Filed under: uncultured Thauera sp.
Lineage: Bacteria; Pseudomonadati; Pseudomonadota; Betaproteobacteria; Rhodocyclales; Zoogloeaceae
Description: bacterial SSU rRNA
Rfam family: Bacterial small subunit ribosomal RNA
Source: RNAcentral
CACAAGGCGGUGGAUGAUGUGGAUUAAUUCGAUGCAACGCGAAAACCUUACCUACCCUUGACAUGUCUGGAACCUUGCUGAGAGGCGAGGGUGCCUUCGGAGCCAGAACACAGGUGCUGCAUGGCUGUCGUCAGCCCGUGUCGUGAGAUGUUGGGUUAAGUCCCGCAACGAGCGCAACCCUUGUCACUAGUUGCCACCAUUUAGUUUGGGGCACUCUAGUGAGACUGCCGGUGACAAACCGGAGGAAGGUGGGGAUGACGUCAAGUCCUCAUGGCCCUUAUGGGUAGGGCUUCACACGUCAUACAAUGGUCGGUACAGAGGGUUGCCAAGCCGCGAGGUGGAGCCAAUCCCUUAAAGCCGAUCGUAGUCCGGAUCGUAGUCUGCAACUCGACUACGUGAAGUCGGAAUCGCUAGUAAUCGCGGAUCAGCAUGUCGCGGUGAAUACGUUCCCGGGUCUU